GCCUAGGAAGCUUGUAGCCUCUCUCUUCCUGAGGUAAAGGAGAAGAAAGGGGGGAGUGAUAAGAAUCCUUAAGAAAGAGUUUAGCUAGGAGGCCUGAGAGAGGGGUCUAACUAGGAAUUCUAUGGAUAAAGCUUAAAGAAACAAGGUGGGAAGUAGUUCAUGAAGAGAGCAGUAGGGUGGGUGAAGUCCAGGUCUUAACUGCUUGCUCUAGAGCCCUGGACUGGAACCCAGAGUAAGGUUAGGCCUGGAUUUCCUUACCAUCCACUGCAGAAUAGUAUUGGUAGGGGCAGUGAAUGGGAAGACUGCCUGAGUCACUGUGGGAAUGACACAGUCAGAGCAGCGGGCAUGAGGACUGCAGGAGGAGAAGAGAGAAGACUCCCCUGGAAGGGGAAACUACACAGUGACCUGGGCUGAGUUACAAAGUGUCUAUACUGCAACUCCAUGAGCAGGAAGAGAGCUGCAACAAUGGAAGAGAAGAAAGGAGGCAUUGAAUCAGAUGGAGCUUAUCUCCAGAAGGAGGCACCACGCAGCUUGCUGAUCUCUAACAGAAGGUGUUAUGUUCUGCCCAACAAGAAAGGUCCAUUGACACCAGAUGGACUAUUGUGGGAUGAUAGAGGACAGAGGCAUUCUCCCCCCCCCGGACUGCAAAGAUGAGUGAUGGAAGUGGUUUCCUCCUGUUGGCUGACUUUGCCUUUAAUAAGAAGAAACUGUAUCUCGGUGCUGCUUAGUCUCUGGGAAACAAGGUUUACUAGGCAUAAGCAAGAGAUCCCUUAGCCUAGGUUAGUCCUUAAGGUCCUGUAGUGCUUGUUUGUUAUAGAAGUUUUUACUUUUUGAAACUUAAGACUGUAACUCAUUUGUGUGUGUAUUUGCCUGCUUUAACUUAAUAAAUCUUCCUAUAGUUUUUUUAUA
Molecule: long non-coding RNA, 909 nt
Organism: Chelonia mydas (Green sea turtle)
Lineage: Eukaryota; Metazoa; Chordata; Testudines; Cheloniidae
Exons: 2
Source: RefSeq, a predicted model, not a curated record